Long non-coding RNA from Camellia sinensis, 915 nucleotides. RefSeq lists it as uncharacterized. NCBI's taxonomy places the organism in Eukaryota, Viridiplantae, Streptophyta, Magnoliopsida, Ericales, Theaceae. The record is from RefSeq and is a predicted model, not a curated record.
GCAAUCGACUCACUCUCUCUCUCUCCGGCAACUCUCAGGUAAGGACUCUCUCUGUCUCCGUCUCGCUCUCUCUCGCCGAUCUGUGAUUUUAAGAAAUGGGAUAGACGAAGCCAAAUCCAGUGGUGUUUGGCCCACCGUGAAGCCUUUCGUCAAUGGCGGAGCCUCUACAAUGCUCGCUACCUGUGUCAUCCAACCUAUCGACGUGAUCAAGGUUACUACAAAUGCUGAUGAGUCGAUGAAGAAAUUUAUUUUGGCAUUUGUUGGAAAAAAAUGGAGAGAGUGGAAAGCUAGAGUUAAAAAAAUGGGGUAUAUGCCAUUCAUCGACCCGAAAGAGUACAUGAGCAUCAAUGGCGGAGCUUAGUUUAUUAUUGGGGCACUCGGAAGGCAUAGCUCACUUUUGGUAUAACUACCAUGGAAAACCAGAAAAUACUUUGGAAGGACUUGUAUUUCUUCGAUUAUUACUUCCCAAAUCCCAAAUCACUAAUACCAUGGAUCGGAAUGUAAUGCGACAACAUCUCUAAUUGCUUCUUAGCAAUUGUUACCGAUGCUUUCUCUGCGUUUCGAAACAAAAAAACUUUGGUUUUCGUGCAAAUUCUCCACUGUCAAUGCGGCUACGCUGACAUUGUUCAGUGUAGCAAUGAAGAUGCCACUGGAUUUGAGUAGUGACAUGUAUGGAGGAAGCGAUCAACUUGCAAAACUUAGCAGUACAGUCAUGGCAUAAAAUUACCUAUUAUAAUACAUAUCAUGACCGUGUUGCUAAGUUUUGCAAGUUGAUCGCUUCCUCCGUACAUGUCACUACUCAAAUCUAGUGGCAUCUUCAUUGCUACACUUAACAGCGUCAGCGUAGCGGCAUUGAUAGUGAAGAAUUUGCACAGAAACCCAAGUUUUUGUUUGGAAAUGCAGAGAGAGCAUCGG